GAUGAACGCUGACAGAAUGCUUAACACAUGCAAGUCAACUUGAACUUCGGUUUGGGUGGCGGACGGGUGAGUAACGCGUAAAGAACUUGCCUCACAGAUAGGGACAACAUUUGGAAACGAAUGCUAAUACCUGAUAUUAUGAUUUUAGGGCAUCCUAGGAUUAUGAAAGCUAUAUGCGCUGUGAGAGAGCUUUGCGUCCCAUUAGCUAGUUGGAGAGGUAACGGCUCACCAAGGCGAUGAUGGGUAGCCGGCCUGAGAGGGUGAUCGGCCACAAGGGGACUGGGACACGGCCCUUACUCCUACGGGAGGCAGCAGUGGAGAAUAUUGGACAAUGGACCAAGAGUCUGAUCCAGCAAUUCUGUGUGCACGAUGAAGUUUUUCGGAAUGUAAAGUGCUUUCAGUUGGGAAGAAAAAAAUGACGGUACCAACAGAAGAAGAGACGGCUAAAUACGUG
This 454-nucleotide ribosomal RNA is filed under the name uncultured bacterium. RNAcentral describes it as "partial 16S ribosomal RNA". It matches the Rfam family "Bacterial small subunit ribosomal RNA", at positions 28 to 507 of the family's 1533-position model. The record is from RNAcentral.